CUACGUAGGGGGCAAGCGUUGUCCGGAAUUACUGGGCGUAAAGGGUGCGCAGGCGGCUUGGUUAGUCAGAAGUGAAAGUUUGCAGCUUAACUGUAAAAGUGCUUUUGAUACUGCCUGGCUUGAGUCUCGGAGGGGUAAGCGGAAUUCCUAGUGUAGCGGUAAAAUGCGUAGAGAUUAGGAAGAACACCGGCGGCGAAGGCGGCUUACUGGACGAGUACUGACGCUCAUGCACGAAAGCGUGGGAAGCAAACAGGAUUAGAUACCCUGGUAUGCCACGCCGUAAACGAUGAAUACUAGCUGUUGGGGCAACUCAGUAGCGCAGUUAACACAUUAAGUAUUCCGCCUGGGGAGUACGCACGCAAGUGUAAAACUCAAAUGAAUUGACGGGG
RNAcentral lists this ribosomal RNA (389 nucleotides) under uncultured bacterium. RNAcentral's name for it is "partial 16S ribosomal RNA". It matches the Rfam family "Bacterial small subunit ribosomal RNA", at positions 523 to 918 of the family's 1533-position model. The record is from RNAcentral.